CACCACCCAAUGGGAGUUUGUUCCCCAGCAGCCACAGACGGUGACCUCUGUGAUAAGGUUCACCUCCACACCGGUAGUGUUGGUGACGGCUACGGUGGGGGUCUACCCAGUAAGCACAAUGGUCUCCGUCUACAGUCAAUUCGUCACCACAACAGAUACUGUUAAAUACUGGCAGACUAUCACCGACGUGGCUGUCACUCACGAGAUCCAGACGGUCCCUGUGGUAUCUACACAAGAACUUGUGCAGGAUAUAGUAACUACCAUUACGCAAAUAGUAACUACUACGGUUACUUCCACCACCGCCGGAUACUAUGCUUAAAGAUGGAUUAUAGAUAAUUGGCACAAAGUAUUGUAAUAAACAUUUUAAAACGGUAAA
Procambarus clarkii (red swamp crayfish) is the source of this 376-nucleotide non-coding RNA. The record is from RefSeq and is a predicted model, not a curated record. NCBI's taxonomy places the organism in Eukaryota, Metazoa, Arthropoda, Malacostraca, Decapoda, Cambaridae.